This 273-nucleotide unclassified non-coding RNA is filed under the name fungal sp. RNAcentral describes it as "partial internal transcribed spacer region". The stretch from base 1 to 46 matches the Rfam family "Eukaryotic small subunit ribosomal RNA", at positions 1786 to 1831 of the family's 1831-position model. The record is from RNAcentral. Lineage: Eukaryota; Fungi.
AAGUCGUAACAAGGUUUCCGUAGGUGAACCUGCGGAGGGAUCAUUCACAUGAUCAUAAUCUUAAACAAUUCUGUGAACUUUUUUUUUAACUAUUCUUUUUUUUCUAUUGUAACAAAUAGAAAAAAAUUACAUUCGAUCGUACAUUAGAUAGCUGGUUUUACUUUUAAUCGAGUAAUUUCUACAGCUGAUUGAAAUAUAUCUAAACAAUAUAUUUGAAUCAAGACAAACAAACAUAGAAUUUAACAACUCUAUGCCCUGGAUAUCUUGGUUCUC